AACGAACGCUGGCGGCGGGCCUCAUACAUGCAAGUCGAGCGCGAAAGUCCGCAAGGAUGAGUAAAGCGGCGCACGGGUGAGUAACACGUGGAUAAUCUACCCUUUGGAUUGGAAUAACCUGUCGAAAGACGGGCUAAUGCCAAGUAAGCUUACGAGUUCGUGAAGUUCUUGUAAGGAAGAUGGCGCAAGCAAUCGCCGAAGGAUGAGUCUGCGUCCCAUUAGUUAGNGGUGGGGUAAUGGCUUACCAAGACAAUGAUGGGUACCUGGUCUGAGCGGAUGACCAGGCACACUGGAACUGAAACACGGGUCCAGACUCCUACGGGAGGCAGCAGUAGGGAAUAUUGCGCAAUGGACGAAAGUCUGACGCA
This 368-nucleotide ribosomal RNA is filed under the name uncultured bacterium. RNAcentral's name for it is "bacterial SSU rRNA". It matches the Rfam family "Bacterial small subunit ribosomal RNA", at positions 29 to 390 of the family's 1533-position model. The record is from RNAcentral.